UAGGAUGUAGCCAAGUGGUAAGGCAUCGGGUUUUGGUCUCGCCAUUCGAAGGUUCGAAUCCUUCCAUCCUAG
Molecule: transfer RNA, 72 nt
Filed under: Codium simulans
Lineage: Eukaryota; Viridiplantae; Chlorophyta; Ulvophyceae; Bryopsidales; Codiaceae
Description: tRNA-Gln
Rfam family: tRNA
About the family: Transfer RNA (tRNA) molecules are approximately 80 nucleotides in length. Their secondary structure includes four short double-helical elements and three loops (D, anti-codon, and T loops).
Source: RNAcentral